RNAcentral lists this ribosomal RNA (497 nucleotides) under uncultured bacterium. Its description in RNAcentral is "partial 16S ribosomal RNA". It matches the Rfam family "Bacterial small subunit ribosomal RNA", at positions 28 to 507 of the family's 1533-position model. The record is from RNAcentral.
GAUGAACGCUGGCGGCGUGCCUAAUACAUGCAAGUCGAGCGAACAGACGAGGAGCUUGCUCCUCUGACGUUAGCGGCGGACGGGUGAGUAACACGUGGAUAACCGACCUAUAAGACUGGGAUAACUUCGGGAAACCGGAGCUAAUACCGGAUAAUAUAUUGAACCGCAUGGUUCAAUAGUGAAAGACGGUUUUGCUGUCACUUAUAGAUGGAUCCGCGCCGCAUUAGCUAGUUGGUAAGGUAACGGCUUACCAAGGCAACGAUGCGUAGCCGACCUGAGAGGGUGAUCGGCCACACUGGAACUGAGACACGGUCCAGACUCCUACGGGAGGCAGCAGUAGGGAAUCUUCCGCAACGGGCGAAAGCCUGACGGAGCAACGCCGCGUGAGUGAUGAAGGUCUUCGGAUCGUAAAACUCUGUUAUUAGGGAAGAACAAAUGUGUAAGUAACUAUGCACGUCUUGACGGUACCUAAUCAGAAAGCCACGGCUAACUACGUG